Non-coding RNA from Vicia faba (fava bean), 207 nucleotides. The record is from the annotation of a GenBank genome assembly. NCBI's taxonomy places the organism in Eukaryota, Viridiplantae, Streptophyta, Magnoliopsida, Fabales, Fabaceae.
AUGCAUGACAAAAAUAUGAAAAGUUUAUUUUUUGAAGGAGAAAAAGGAGAUGAUGAUGAUGAUAUUGGCAAUGAAGGAGACAAUGGUAUUGACAAUAAAAGAGAGGAAGAUAUCAUAAUGGAAGAAGAUGGUAUUGGUAUGGAAGGAGAGAAUGAUAACCAGAACAUGGGUGAAGAAAAUAUGGAUGAUGACCUUUUCAUGGAUUAG